AUUGCUUCUUGGCCUUUUGGCUAAGAUAAAGUGUAUAUCUGUUCUUACCGGUUUAAUUUCUUCUGCUUGUUAAGGACUUCAGUAAUCUGAUUAAGAUCCUCCCAUUCAGGGGGGAGGAGUGGGGUGAGGGGGGUGCGGGGUAUAUGGGGACCUCAUAUUUUUUUAAUGUAAUAUUAAAAAAAAAAGAUCCUCC
Molecule: small nuclear RNA, 193 nt
Filed under: Dasypus novemcinctus (nine-banded armadillo)
Lineage: Eukaryota; Metazoa; Chordata; Mammalia; Cingulata; Dasypodidae
Description: U2 spliceosomal RNA (ENSDNOG00000030234.1)
Rfam family: U2 spliceosomal RNA
About the family: U2 is a small nuclear RNA (snRNA) component of the spliceosome (involved in pre-mRNA splicing). Complementary binding between U2 snRNA (in an area lying towards the 5' end but 3' to hairpin I) and the branchpoint sequence (BPS) of the intron results the bulging out of an unpaired adenosine, on the BPS, which initiates a nucleophilic attack at the intronic 5' splice site, thus starting the first of two transesterification reactions that mediate splicing.
Source: RNAcentral